GAAGGGGGCUAGCGUUGUUCGGAGUUACUGGGUGUAAAGGGCGCGUAGGCGGCUUGACAAGUCAGGCGUGAAAUCCCCGGGCUUAACCCGGGAAUUGCGCUUGAUACUGUAUGGCUGGAGUCCGGGAGAGGAUGGCGGAAUUCCCAGUGUAGAGGUGAAAUUCGUAGAUAUUGGGAAGAACACCGGUGGCGAAGGCGGCCAUCUGGACCGGUACUGACGCUGAGGCGCGAAAGCGUGGGGAGCAAACAGGAUUAGAUACCCUGGUAGUCCACGCCGUAAACGAUGAGUGCUAGACGUCGGUGGGUAUACUCGCCGGUGUCGCAGCUAACGCUUUAAGCACUCCGCCUGGGGAGUACGGCCGCAAGGUUG
Molecule: ribosomal RNA, 369 nt
Filed under: uncultured bacterium
Lineage: Bacteria
Description: bacterial SSU rRNA
Rfam family: Bacterial small subunit ribosomal RNA
Source: RNAcentral